CGUGACCCUCCGUCUUUCUCUUUAAGGGUCUCCUGGAGAAAGCCCUGGAGCAGACACCAGCCCUGGCUCGCUGCAGCCUUCGAGCCCCACUCUCUCCUCUGGACCUCAGUUUCGCCAUCCAUCCAAUGGUGACCACUCAGUCACUGCCAGAUCCUGAGCAGAUCCGUCCUGGCCCUGGGGAGUGGACCAUCAGGGGGCAGGGCUGGCCAGUGAGCAGAGAGCUGGCGGUGACAUGGGCUCAGCACAGAGCACCACGUGGGGCCUGGGAGGAGCCAUGAGAGCCGGCAGCCCUGCCUGUCCUCCAGAUGAAAGCGAGGCCCGCAGCCUGAGAGGGAGGGAGGAGACGCUAAUUACGCCCAGCGCGGGGCUCCCCAGGCAGCCUCAGCCACAGGAUCAAACACCGCCUUCCUCAGCCACGCGCCCGCCCUGCCCUGCAGGAGCAGUCACGGAGCUGCGACACCACCAGAGCUGGGACACCACCAGAGCUGCGAGACCACCAGAGCUGUGACACCACCAGAGCCGGGACACCACCAGAGCCGGGACACCACCAGAGCCGGGACACCACCAGAGCUCCGAGACCACCAGAGCUGCCACACCACCAGAGCUGUGACACCACCAGAGCCGUGACACCACCAGAGCCGGGACACCACCAGAGCCGGGACACCACCAGAGCCGCGAGACCACCAGAGCCGUGACACCACCAGAGCCGGGACACCACCAGAGCUGGGACACCACCAGAGCUGCGAGACCACCAGAGCUGGGACACCACCAGAGCUGCCACACCACCAGAGCUGCGACAGCACCAGAGCCGGGACACCAGCAGAGCCGGGACACCACCAGAGCCGCAACACCACCAGAGCUGCGACACCAGCAGAGCCGCGACACCAGCAGAGCCGGGACACCACCAGAGCCGUGACACCAGCAGAGCCGGGACACCACCAGAGCUGCGAGACCACCAGGGCCGGGACACCACCAGGGCCGGGACACCACCAGAGCUGCGAGACCACCAGGGCCGGGACACCACCAGAGCCGGGACACCACCAGAGCUGCGAGACCACCAGGGCCGUGACACCACCAGAGCCGGGACACCACCAGAGCUGGGACACCACCAGAGCUGCGAGACCACCAGAGCUGGGACACCACCAGAGCUGCCACACCACCAGAGCUGCGACACCAGCAGAGCCGCGACACCAGCAGAGCCGGGACACCAGCAGAGCCGGGACACCACCAGAGCCGUGACACCAGCAGAGCCGGGACACCACCAGGGCCGGGACACCAGCAGAGCCGGGACACCACCAGAGCCGUGACACCAGCAGAGCCGGGACACCACCAGGGCCGGGACACCACCAGAGCUGCGAGACCACCAGGGCCGGGACACCACCAGAGCCGGGACACCACCAGAGCUGGGACACCACCAGAGCUGCGAGACCACCAGAGCCGUGACACCACCAGAGCCGUGACACCAGCAGAGCUGGGACACCACCAGAGCUGUGAGACCACCAGAGCCGGGACACCACCAGAGCCGGGACACCACCAGAGCUGCGAGACCACCAGAGCCGUGACACCAGCAGAGCCGGGACACCACCAGAGCCGGGACACCACCAGAGCCGGGACACCACCAGAGCUCCGAGACCACCAGAGCUGCCACACCACCAGAGCUGUGACACCACCAGAGCUGUGACACCACCAGAGCCGGGACACCACCAGAGCCGGGACACCACCAGAGCUGCGAGACCACCAGAGCUGGGACACCACCAGAGCUGGGACACCACCAGAGCCGGGACACCACCAGAGCUCCGAGACCACCAGAGCUGCCACACCACCAGAGCUGUGACACCACCAGAGCCGGGACACCACCAGAGCCGGGACACCACCAGAGCCGGGACACCACCAGAGCUGUGACACUGUGGCUUCAGUAAAGCUGUUUCUUCUACCACUGGCUUGCCCUUGCAUUCUUUCCUGGGUGAAGCCAAAAACCCAGAGGGCUAAACUCCACUUUCGGGCUCGCCUGCCUGCAUCAUAACCAUCAGGCCUGGAGAGCCGGGUCUCUUGAGAGUAAACUGCCGUGAGAUUCUACAGGAACUCUGCCUCUCCUCUGGGCUGAGCUGUUCUG
Molecule: long non-coding RNA, 2113 nt
Filed under: Homo sapiens (human)
Lineage: Eukaryota; Metazoa; Chordata; Mammalia; Primates; Hominidae
Description: HSALNT0379533
Source: RNAcentral